Molecule: long non-coding RNA, 453 nt
Filed under: Elaeis guineensis (African oil palm)
Lineage: Eukaryota; Viridiplantae; Streptophyta; Magnoliopsida; Arecales; Arecaceae
Description: long non-coding RNA (EGUI_LNC077592)
Source: RNAcentral
CCAAAUUAAAACAAGUCAUAAGAUAGAAUCCUAGUAAGACUAGGAUUCCACCUUGCGCCACAUAAACCUUCUCCACGCCCUCUCUCUUAUUCAACGCCAAUCUCCACUUAUUUUGUGUGACAAAAGCCCUCUCCUAGAUCUCUCCCACGUUCACAAAAGGUCUCCUCUCUUCUUUCUUACAUGGAAGGUGGUUUGGAUCAAAUCUAAAAGGAAUAAGUUUGGAUUUCGAAUUCUAUGAGAUAGAGUUUUAGAAAUCCAAAACUCCUUCAAUUUUGCACCGAAUUUAUCCAAAUUUUUUUUGAAAUUUUCAUGGAUUUUAGGGUAUACAUUAUGCAUCCUUUUCUUAUAAUCCAUGCAUAAAAAUAUGGAGGAGGUGCUCAAGAGUUGGGCGUCCCUUAACUUGCCAUGUUUGGAUAAGCCUUGACUAGGUGUUUGACCUAGACAAGGACUCUA